UCCACAACAGAAUCUAUGACUGUAACUAUACACUAUAUACAACAGAAGGUUUAUAAUACACCAAAAGGUAUAAACCUCUAUCUACAUUAUACUAUACUAUGGAGCGGCACAGCUAGCAGGCAACCACUAAUCCUGCUUCUCUCUAUACAAUACCUGCCCUGCAAUCAAAAACACCAAACUGGGGAGUGAGUAUAUAAAUACUCAGUGAGUGGAGUAGAGUGUACUAUGCAUAUUAGACAGAAUAUAAUCAUGGCUCGAGAUGAAAUCUCAAGAUCAAUAAUAAGAUGAACAUGAACUCAACAUAAAGAAUAUGGAGUAAAUCAUCAAUA
This 329-nucleotide long non-coding RNA is filed under the name Phoenix dactylifera (date palm). RNAcentral's name for it is "long non-coding RNA (PDAC_LNC010542)". Lineage: Eukaryota; Viridiplantae; Streptophyta; Magnoliopsida; Arecales; Arecaceae. The record is from RNAcentral.